UUCAGUCAGUCUCACUAUCUGUUUGAUAAAAUGCGUACAGUGUUCUGCAACUUAGACUUUGAUAGACAUUUAUUGCCAAAUAUAACUUGGAAGUCAGUCUAUGGAUUGAAUGGUUGCAGAUGGAAUUGCUUUCCUCUUGUCAUUCCUAUUAUUAUGACCACUGAAUUUUUCUUUGGACUGGAGAGGGGAUUGCUAACUGAUUUUUUGUGUCAGAACCGUUGAAGAGGGGUUCUGUUAUACCAUAAAUUUGUAUCUGCUACUUUUGGUUACACUUCUACAAGAUUAUUAUGGUGGGAUUUAGAAAUAAAUACUUGGUAAUAGAGGUAUUCAUGGAUCCUAUAAUUAGCCAGUCCAGUUCAAUGUAUUAAAGACGCAUUAGUUGUAAAGUUCGGUGAAUGUGAUUUAUCCGCGUCUCUAAUUGGACUAUUACAGGGUAAGACGAUCAUGGAUAAUGUUGUACUUGUACAUAUUCUAACUACUACUUGUUUUGCAGUACCUAGCAAUGAAUGAGAAAACUAACUAUGUACAGAAAGAUGGAGAUAGUGAAGGAUUUGGACAAAUCUAUGUUGAAUCAGAGGAUCAAAGACUUGAUUGGGCAGACGGGUUUGUCUUGGUAGUAGCAUAACCGUUAUUCAUGAGAAUAUAGAAGAAUCUAGAAAGGUUGCUCUUGAGAGGAACAAAAAAAUAAGAGGAAAUGCUCCUGAAAGCCUAGUAUCGGGGUCUGAUGAUAUCACCAUGUUCCUUCGGGAAAUUGCUGCCAGUAAGCACCCCAAAGCCCGCCUGACUGGUCAUCAACAAACAUUUCUUGGCCUACUUAUUGAGAGAAAAUUCAUAAAACCUAUUGGAAGUUGGUCUUUUCUGUAAACUUACACCGUCUUUUUAGCCUUCUCUCACUGUGUUCGUGAUGCAAUCUGCUGGCUCAAGUAAUACAAUUGAAGUAACACAUCAAGAGGUUACUGGUUUGAAGAGGAUGAGGAGAUCAUUCGUGAGGAAGAGGAGAGUUGGCAAGCUGAGAGUGAGCAAAAAUUAAAUGAUUCAGCUGCUGACAAGGAAAAACGCGCCAAGGAAAAACAGAUGUAAGUGUCUAUAGCUUUGUAAUUUACUGACUAAGAUAUGUUCAUCAGAUUGAAAGGGAGAGUUGGCCUUCAACCUCAGGAUGGCCUAUUGUUUGUUGGAUUGACAGGGAUGUACAUAUUGAUGCAUUUGCGUAAUCCCAUGGAAAAGGAGGUUUGGCGCAUCAAUGUAAUUCUCAUGACAAAAAAAGGUUUGGGUGUGCUUAUGAAUAUUCGAUUUUAUGCAUGUUUUGUAGGGGUAUACAUAUUGAUGCACCAAUGUUUUUUUUCAUGAAAAAGUAAAUUUGUAUGUGUGCUGACGAAUAAACGGCUUCAU
This is a long non-coding RNA of Papaver somniferum (opium poppy), 1389 nucleotides long. RefSeq lists it as uncharacterized. The transcript is spliced from 4 exons. NCBI's taxonomy places the organism in Eukaryota, Viridiplantae, Streptophyta, Magnoliopsida, Ranunculales, Papaveraceae. The record is from RefSeq and is a predicted model, not a curated record.